AUUGGUAAGUUUGUUUUAGCCCUCUACAUUUUGUCUUCAGAGCGCAAGACUACUUCAAUACAAGUCCUUAAUUUGUCCGACUGCACAUAGAUAUUACUGAUGUAGAAACAGAAUACUCUCUAUCGUUUAGUGAAAACAAGUAUUAAUGUCAGCAUAUUACAUUGUAAUUCUCCAUCUGAUCAUACAUCCUAGUUUGUUUUCCAGUGGUUAUCAGCAGCUUGCCUUCUCUCCCUUUUCUUUUUGAAGUACAGCAUGAUGAAAUGUGAGAAACAAUAAUAUCAUCAAAAAUCUUUUUCAAGCCUUGACAUCUUGUUUACUACUAUUACUGGAGUGGAAAGUGGGAAUUCUCAUAAAUUUCAAAGAUAGUAUCUACCGCAUUCAAAUCUUACUAAAUUACACUUUAUUUUAUAUCCAAAAAUAACGUAUGCUGAUUGAUUCAUGCAACUCUGAUUUAACACAGAGCAAUGUUAACAUUAAUAAGGCACAGUGAUUCUGAAUGACCUAUAUUAAUGUAGCCAGUUUAGUGCAGCAUUGUGCAAUUUAGCAGUCUCAAAAUACCCUACAAAUUAAGAGAGAAAAGCUUAUUUCUCAAAGCUAAACACAAGCAACAAAACAGAACCACAAGAAUAUUUCUGUGCACUGUUUUCCCUUUCCUUACUGUCCAAUGAUGCUGGAUAUCUGGUUAAAUGUGUUUGUCUUUCAGCUUCUAUAUUGAACAAAUUGAAGCAGAGGAAUCUCAACAUGAAGAUUAAUUUUUUUUGGUGGCUAUGAGCAGAACUCUUGUUUAUAGCUUUCCUGUUCUCAAGAAACUGGAUCAGUUCCACACUCCAGUGAUCCAGUACAAUGCAUGCCACAAGAAGAAAGAGGAAAAAAAGUGAAAAACUGAGUCUCAUUUGUGGUACGGAGAAGAGGCUAUCGCCCUAUUCAGGAUGAGCAAGCACAAAGUAUUAAUGUAACUGUAAAGCUAGAGCUCCCACUGAAAUAAAUUCAAAAAAAGAAAUUCAAAUACUUUUCUUCAUUUGCUUGUUCUUAUAGUGCACAUACUGUACAAGAGGUCAAAGGAUUUACUAUGGUAAAACAUAACACAAGAAUGAUCAGGUUGGACCAAGCUCUUCUAGAACACCAUGUCUUGUCUACGUGGCACCAACAUAAAAUUUAGUCUAAGCUUGGAGCCUCACUUAGAAAAAAAUAGUAAAAACUAGUUUCUUGUAUGUCAUCAUUCAAAUCGACCAAAGAUUAACUUCUUAGCUCCCCCAGUCCCACACAAGCCCCAUUGCAUUUAUGAUUACAUAUAUACAUCAGCAGAAUUCUAUGAAAAAAAAAAAAGUGUCUUGGUAUUGAUUAGCAUUUGCUUAGAUGUAGGUUCUUCUAAAGAAAUAAAAUUAGAAGUGAGAAGAAGAAAACUAUAAGAAGCCAGAAUUCACAGACCAUGUACUUUGGAGACAAAGGAUUUGACAGCACGAGUGCCAGAGGAACU
This 1477-nucleotide long non-coding RNA is filed under the name Meleagris gallopavo (turkey). RNAcentral describes it as "lncRNA (ENSMGAG00000021243.1)". The record is from RNAcentral. Lineage: Eukaryota; Metazoa; Chordata; Aves; Galliformes; Phasianidae.